Small nuclear RNA from Cynocephalus volans (Philippine flying lemur), 107 nucleotides. The record is from RefSeq and is a predicted model, not a curated record. Lineage: Eukaryota; Metazoa; Chordata; Mammalia; Dermoptera; Cynocephalidae.
GUGCUCCCUUCAACAGCACAUAUAAUAAAACUGGAACAAUACAGAGAAGAUUAGCAUGGCUCCUGCGCAAAGAGAACGCACAAAUUAAUGAAGUGUUCCAUGUUUUG